AGGACUUCUUAGCAGUAUAAGCACCCCAGGAUGAAGAACCAGAACUGCAGUGCUUCUGUCUGCUAGGAGAAGAGGUGAAAGGGGUGGACUUGGUAUGAGGGUGCAAGAGAGGCAGCUCCUAAUUGCUACUAGUUGAAGUAGUCAGUAAAAUCUGUUUUGUUGCCCCUUUCCCCACUAUUGCUUUGCCUGGAGGUAGGUUGGGUGUUGCAGCAAAGCAAUGGGCUCAGGAGCCAAAAUCUGUUUCUACUUCCAGGGUGUUUGGUACGUGGCUGGGAACAACCAACAAGCCCUGCUGAGAGUUUGCCUUGAAUGAAUGAAACCCAAUAGAAAGCUGUGAUCGAUUGAUUUCAUGGGACUCCAAAAAGUUGUUACCUCCUUCGCCAGCUUCACGCCAUGCUCAUAGAUCUCAAGAUUAUCCAGAGCUCCAAUUCAAGUGGAAAG
Molecule: long non-coding RNA, 441 nt
Filed under: Gallus gallus (chicken)
Lineage: Eukaryota; Metazoa; Chordata; Aves; Galliformes; Phasianidae
Source: RNAcentral